CCUACGGGUGGCAGCAGUGGGGAAUAUUGCACAAUGGGCGCAAGCCUGAUGCAGCGACGCCGCGUGCGGGAUGGAGGCCUUCGGGUUGUAAACCGCUUUUGUUCAAGGGCAAGGCACGGUCUUUGGCCGGGUUGAGUGGAUGGUUGGAAUAAGAACCGGCUAAUUACGUCCCAGCAGCGGCGGUAAUAAGUAGGGUGCAAGCGUUAUCCGGAGUUAUUGGGCGGAAAGGGCUGGUAGGCGGUUCGUCGCGUCCGGUGUGAAAGUCAAUCGCUUAACGGUGGAUCCGCGCCGGGUACGGGCGGGCUUGAGUGCGGUAGGGGAGACUGGAAUUCCCGGUGUAACGGUGGAAUGUGUAGAUAUCGGGAAGAACACCAAUGGCGAAGGCAGGUCUCUGGGCCGUUACUGACGCUGAGGAGCGAAAGCGUGGGGAGCGAACAGGAUUAGAUACCCUGGUAGUC
RNAcentral lists this ribosomal RNA (458 nucleotides) under uncultured bacterium. RNAcentral describes it as "partial 16S ribosomal RNA". It matches the Rfam family "Bacterial small subunit ribosomal RNA", at positions 338 to 795 of the family's 1533-position model. The record is from RNAcentral.